Molecule: ribosomal RNA, 545 nt
Filed under: uncultured archaeon
Lineage: Archaea
Description: bacterial SSU rRNA
Rfam family: Archaeal small subunit ribosomal RNA
Source: RNAcentral
GCAGCAGGCGCGAAAACUCUACAAUGCAGGCAACUGCGAUAGGGGGACAUCGAGUGGCAUCCACCUUGGGUGCCUGUCCCACCGUCUAAAAAACGGUGGUUAGCAAGGGCCGGGCAAGACCGGUGCCAGCCGCCGCGGUAAUACCGGCGGCUCGAGUGGUGGCCGAUAUUAUUGAGUCUAAAGGGUCCGUAGCCGGCUUUGCAAGUCCCCUGGGAAAUCCAGCGGCUUAACCGUUGGGCUUUCAUGGGAUACUACAUUGCUUGGGACUGGGAGAGGUAGGAGGUACUCGGGGGGUAGGGGUGAAAUCCUGUAAUCCCCCGGGGACCACCGGUGGCGAAGGCGUCCUACCAGAACAGGUCCGACGGUGAGGGACGAAAGCUAGGGGCACGAACCGGAUUAGAUACCCGGGUAGUCCUAGCCGUAAACGAUGCCCGCUAGGUGUCACGGCGGUCGUGAAUCGCCGUGGUGCCGUAGGGAAGCCGCGAAGCGGGCCACUUGGGAAGUACGGCCGCAAGGCUGAAACUUAAAGGAAUUGGCGGGGGAGC